This 465-nucleotide ribosomal RNA is filed under the name Vreelandella stevensii. Its description in RNAcentral is "partial 16S ribosomal RNA". It matches the Rfam family "Bacterial small subunit ribosomal RNA", at positions 338 to 795 of the family's 1533-position model. The record is from RNAcentral. Lineage: Bacteria; Pseudomonadati; Pseudomonadota; Gammaproteobacteria; Oceanospirillales; Halomonadaceae.
CCUACGGGUGGCUGCAGUGGGGAAUAUUGGACAAUGGGCGAAAGCCUGAUCCAGCCAUGCCGCGUGUGUGAAGAAGGCCUUCGGGUUGUAAAGCACUUUCAGUGGGGAAGAAAGCCUUGGGGCUAAUACCCUCGAGGAAGGACAUCACCCACAGAAGAAGCACCGGCUAACUCCGUGCCAGCAGCCGCGGUAAUACGGAGGGUGCGAGCGUUAAUCGGAAUUACUGGGCGUAAAGCGCGCGUAGGCGGUCUGAUAAGCCGGUUGUGAAAGCCCCGGGCUCAACCUGGGAACGGCAUCCGGAACUAUCAGGCUAGAGUGCAGGAGAGGAAGGUAGAAUUCCCGGUGUAGCGGUGAAAUGCGUAGAGAUCGGGAGGAAUACCAGUGGCGAAGGCGGCCUUCUGGACUGACACUGACGCUGAGGUGCGAAAGCGUGGGAAGCAAACAGGAUUAGAUACCCUAGUAGUC